GACAGAGGUGCUGAGCGUUAGGCGGAAUCACUGGGCUUAAAGCGUGUGUAGGCGGGUCGUUAAGUGUCUUGUGAAAUCCCACCGCUCAACGGUGGAACGGCUGGGCAUACUGGCGGACCUUGAGAGACCCGAGGGGCGGAGCGGAACAAGCGGUGGAGCGGUGAAAUGCGUAGAUAUCGACUUGGAACGCCGACGGGUGAAAACAGCUCGCUGGGGGUCAUCUGACGGCUGAGACACGAAAGCCAGGGGAGCGAACGGG
This 259-nucleotide ribosomal RNA is filed under the name uncultured bacterium. RNAcentral describes it as "partial 16S ribosomal RNA". It matches the Rfam family "Bacterial small subunit ribosomal RNA", at positions 524 to 776 of the family's 1533-position model. The record is from RNAcentral.